This 301-nucleotide ribosomal RNA is filed under the name uncultured bacterium. Its description in RNAcentral is "partial 16S ribosomal RNA". It matches the Rfam family "Bacterial small subunit ribosomal RNA", at positions 509 to 807 of the family's 1533-position model. The record is from RNAcentral.
CAGCAGCCACGGGAAUACGAAGGGGGCUAGCGUUGCUCGGAAUUACUGGGCGUAAAGGGAGCGUAGGCGGAUCGUUAAGUUGGGGGUGAAAGCCCGGGGCUCAACCUCGGAACUGCCUUCAAUACUGGCGAUCUUGAGUAUGAGAGAAGUGUGUGGAACUCCGAGUGUAGAGGUGAAAUUCGUAGAUAUUCGGAAGAACACCAGUGGCGAAGGCGACACACUGGCUCAUUACUGACGCUGAGGCUCGAAAGCGUGGGGAGCAAACAGGAUUAGAUACCCCCGUAGUCCCUGUCUCUUAUAC